UAAAAGGAGAACUUAGGUCUUAGCCGAAACCUAAUUUUCCUUCUCCUCUUUCUCUUCACGCGCGACGGCAUUCCUGUGCUCGGGCGGAAACAACGUCGAGCCUAGGGCAUCGACUUCGACGGCCGGCCGAGCACCUUUUUCGUGAGAUCUUCACACGGUGGUGGUCACCUCGUCGAGGAGAGCACACGGGUGUCAAUGGCUCGCCGAUACAGCCACACCUCCGAAGCCCUAGAGGUCAUCUCCGUCGGUUGUAAGUGCAAGAACAAGGGAUAAAGGAAAAGCCAAAUAGAUAUGAAAAGAGGCGACAAGGGAAGGCUUGAUGGGCGUGUGAUGUCUGGACUGUGGAGUGAUCUAAGAAGUUGUUAAUUCUUUUUAUUAAGAGUCUUAAUUGUUAAAAGAAUUUAAAACUUGUAUAUGCUAUUUUCUUGGGAUUGUUUUAUCGUGUAUUGCUGGAGUUGAUCUUUUGGUA
This is a long non-coding RNA of Zingiber officinale, 469 nucleotides long. RefSeq lists it as uncharacterized. Lineage: Eukaryota; Viridiplantae; Streptophyta; Magnoliopsida; Zingiberales; Zingiberaceae. The record is from RefSeq and is a predicted model, not a curated record. The transcript has 2 exons.